RNAcentral lists this ribosomal RNA (253 nucleotides) under uncultured bacterium. RNAcentral's name for it is "partial 16S ribosomal RNA". It matches the Rfam family "Bacterial small subunit ribosomal RNA", at positions 524 to 776 of the family's 1533-position model. The record is from RNAcentral.
UACGUAGGGUGCAAGCGUUGUCCGGAAUUAUUGGGCGUAAAGAGCUCGUAGGCGGUCUGUCGCGUCGGCUGUGAAAUCCCGAGGCUCAACCUCGGGUCUGCAGUCGAUACGGGCAAACUAGAGUAUUGCAGGGGAGACUGGAAUUCCUGGUGUAGCGGUGAAAUGCGCAGAUAUCAGGAGGAACACCGAUGGCGAAGGCAGGUCUCUGGGCAUUAACUGACGCUGAGGAGCGAAAGCAUGGGGAGCGAACAGG